RNAcentral lists this unclassified non-coding RNA (314 nucleotides) under Hevea brasiliensis (rubber tree). Lineage: Eukaryota; Viridiplantae; Streptophyta; Magnoliopsida; Malpighiales; Euphorbiaceae. The record is from RNAcentral.
GCAAUGCAAUGGAAACACUUCUCGUUCAUGAGGAUCUGGUGCAAACUGGAGGUCUUAAUGACCUGAUUCUGGAACUUCAGGAAAAAGGUGUAUCUUUGUUUGGUGGACCUAAAGCAAGCUCAGUUCUUAAUAUUCCUGAAGCAAAUUCCUUCCAUCAUGAAUAUGGUGCACUGGCUUGCACCGUGGAAAUUGUUGAAGAUGUGAAUACUGCAAUAGAGCACAUACAUCGUCAUGGAAGUGCUCACACUGAUAGCAUCAUUACUGAAGACAAAGAAGUUGCUGAACUGUUUUUACGUCAAGUUGACAGUGCUGCU